CCUACGGGGUGCAGCAGUGGGGAAUAUUGGACAAUGGGGGCAACCCUGAUCCAGCCAUGCCGCGUGUGUGAAGAAGGCCCUCGGGUUGUAAAGCACUUUCAGUGAGGAAGAACGCCUGGUGGUUAAUACCCAUCAGGAAAGACAUCACUCACAGAAGAAGCACCGGCUAACUCCGUGCCAGCAGCCGCGGUAAUACGGAGGGUGCGAGCGUUAAUCGGAAUUACUGGGCGUAAAGCGCGCGUAGGUGGCUUGAUAAGCCGGUUGUGAAAGCCACGGGCUCAACCUGGGAACGGCAUCCGGAACUGUCAAGCUAGAGUGCAGGAGAGGAAGGUAGAAUUCCCGGUGUAGCGGUGAAAUGCGUAGAGAUCGGGAGGAAUACCAGUGGCGAAGGCGGCCUUCUGGACUGACACUGACACUGAGGUGCGAAAGCGUGGGUAGCAAACAGGAUUAGAUACCCCGGUAGUU
RNAcentral lists this ribosomal RNA (465 nucleotides) under Vreelandella stevensii. RNAcentral's name for it is "partial 16S ribosomal RNA". It matches the Rfam family "Bacterial small subunit ribosomal RNA", at positions 338 to 795 of the family's 1533-position model. Lineage: Bacteria; Pseudomonadati; Pseudomonadota; Gammaproteobacteria; Oceanospirillales; Halomonadaceae. The record is from RNAcentral.